GACGAACGCUGGCGGCGUGCUUAACACAUGCAAGUCGAACGGAAAGGGCUUGCUUCUGUGGGGGGCUCGAGUGGCAAACGGGAGAACCACACGUGAGUAAGCUGACAUCGACUUGGGGAUACCUUCAGUAAACUGGGGCUAAUGCCGGAUAGGAGCUCAUGCUGCAUGGUGGGGGCUGGCAAGUUUCGGGGGGGGGGGAUGGGCAGGCGGCUUAUCAGCUUGUGGGUGGGGUGGUGGCUUACCAAGGGUUUGACGGGAAGCCGGCCUGAGCGGGUGACCAGCCACAUUGGGAGGAAUGUGCGGCCCAGACGCCUACGGGAGGAAGCAGUGGUGAAUAUUGCACAAUGGGCGGAGACCUGAUGCAGCAACGCCGCGUGCGGGAUGACGGCGUUCGGGUUGUAGUCCGCUUCCGCCUGUGACGAAGCGUGAGUGACGGUAAUGGGUAAAGAAGCACCGGCUAACUACGUG
RNAcentral lists this ribosomal RNA (468 nucleotides) under uncultured bacterium. RNAcentral's name for it is "partial 16S ribosomal RNA". It matches the Rfam family "Bacterial small subunit ribosomal RNA", at positions 28 to 507 of the family's 1533-position model. The record is from RNAcentral.